Acanthosepion pharaonis is the source of this 99-nucleotide non-coding RNA. The record is from the annotation of a GenBank genome assembly. Lineage: Eukaryota; Metazoa; Mollusca; Cephalopoda; Sepiida; Sepiidae.
GUUAUCACACCAGUUCCUGUAUGAUCACUAAAGUUGAGCAAUGUUGAGCCUGGUUAGUACAUAGAUGGGUGACUGCUUGGAAAUACCAGGUACUGUAAG